This 1059-nucleotide ribosomal RNA is filed under the name Triticum aestivum (bread wheat). RNAcentral's name for it is "partial small subunit ribosomal RNA". Lineage: Eukaryota; Viridiplantae; Streptophyta; Magnoliopsida; Poales; Poaceae. The record is from RNAcentral.
AUGGAGCUACCACGUGAGAAGAGCGAGCGAGCAGCCCAGCAAGCUCAACGACCGCCACAGGGGCCAGAGGCGGAGGAGGUGUGGAGCCUAACGGACGAUGACCCGGAGGAGCUCAAGGGUGCGUGGAUCUGGAGUAUGAUUUGCAGCAGCAGCAGAAACCCCCAUCGCCCCACCCCCGCCGCCGAGCAAGCUCAACGACCGCCGCAGGGGCUAGAAGCGGAGGAGGUGUGGUGCGGUGCGCAGUGGGAGGCAGCGUGGUCAUGGAGGGGCGUGGACGGGGAUUUAGGCAUGGGGCUUGCCAAGAGCUUGACGGGUGAUGACUUGGAGGAGCUCAAGGGGUGCGUGGAUAUGGGCUUCGAUUUGCAGCAGCAGCAGCAGCAGAACCCCCACCCCCAACCCCGCCAGAGCCAGGUGGGACUAAAUCAUGACAAGGAGCUUGAGAAGGUUACGGAGGAGGAGGUCGUCAAGGACUCGCGGUGGCGGACAGGGUCACAGUGGCGCCGUGGCUGGAAAGCGAGUGAUCACCUCCACCGCUUAAGUAUAUCCAUCAAUCUCUCUUUCUCAUCCCCAUCUAUCUGCAUCUGUGCUUCACACAUAUGCACAAAGCGAAAGAGAGAAAAAGAGAGAGUGGAAGACACGGAGCUAUCGUGUGAGAAGAGCGAGCGAGCGAGCAGCCCAGCAAGCUCAACGACCACUUCAGGGGCCAGAGGCGGAGGAGGUGUGGUGCAGUGCGCACUGGGAGGCAGCAUGGCCAUGAAGGGCGCGGCUGGUCGUGCUUGCCGGGGAAGUAGGGGCCCUGAACAGCGCCGGGGAUUCAGGCGUGGGGCGUGCCAGGAGCCUGAGGGGCGAUGGCGUGGAGGAUCUCAAGGGGUGCAUGGAUCUGGGGUUCGAUUUGCAGCAGCAGAACCCCCACCCCUCCAACCCCGCCGGAGCGAGGUGGGACUAAAUCACGACAUGGAGAUUGAGAAGGUUACAACGAAGGAGGUAGGAGAGGACUCGCGGCGGCGGACAGGGUCACAGCGGCGCCGUUGCUGGAAAGCGAGCGCCUGGACAAGAUAA